This 821-nucleotide ribosomal RNA is filed under the name uncultured bacterium. RNAcentral's name for it is "bacterial SSU rRNA". It matches the Rfam family "Bacterial small subunit ribosomal RNA", at positions 8 to 859 of the family's 1533-position model. The record is from RNAcentral.
AGAGUUUGAUCCUGGCUCAAGAUGAACGCUGGGCGGCGUCCUACCCCAUGCAAGUCGAGCGAUUCCUUCGGAGAAGAGCGGCGGACGGGUGAGUAACGCGGGGUUAACCUGCCCUGUACACACGGAUAACAUACCGAAAGGUAUGCUAAUACGAGAUAAUAUGCUUUUAUCGCAUGGUAGAAGUAUCAAAGCUCCGGCGGUACAGGAUGGACCCGCGUCUGAUUAGCUAGUUGGUAAGGUAACGGCUUACCAAGGCGACGAUCAGUAGCCGACCUGAGAGGGUGAUCGGCCACAUUGGAACUGAGACACGGUCCAAACUCCUACGGGAGGCAGCAGUGGGGAAUAUUGCACAAUGGGCGAAAGCCUGAUGCAGCAACGCCGCGUGAGCGAUGAAGGCCUUCGGGUCGUAAAGCUCUGUCCUCAAGGAAGAUAAUGACGGUACUUGAGGAGGAAGCCCCGGCUAACUACGUGCCAGCAGCCGCGGUAAUACGUAGGGGGCUAGCGUUAUCCGGAAUUACUGGGCGUAAAGGGUGCGUAGGUGGUUUCUUAAGUCAGAGGUGAAAGGCUACGGCUCAACCGUAGUAAGCCUUUGAAACUGGGAAACUUGAGUGCAGGAGAGGAGAGUGGAAUUCCUAGUGUAGCGGUGAAAUGCGUAGAUAUUAGGAGGAACACCAGUUGCGAAGGCGGCUCUCUGGACUGUAACUGACACUGAGGCACGAAAGCGUGGGGAGCAAACAGGAUUAGAUACCCUGGUAGUCCACGCCGUAAACGAUGAGUACUAGCUGUCGGAGGUUACCCCCUUCGGUGGCGCAGCUAACGCA